GGCAAGCAAAUUAAAGGUGCAGUACACCCAAAUUAUUGAAGUGUAAGGUUUAUGCUAGUAGUCUAAUUACACAACAUAAUCGGGCAACAUUUUAACAUAAUGAGCAUAAAACGUAUAAAACAAAAUAAAUAAAAUAAGAAAUACAACAGCUAAAAAUACUAAACCAGUAAUAUUGUGCAACUUUAAAUCUAACUAGAUUACAAUUGUUACUUGGAACCUUUAACUGCUAGGUUUCAAUCGUGCCAGUCAAACAAUAUAAAAACUCCAAAAUCUAGCUGUGGGCCUCAAUCCUAGAUUUGAAACUAUGUAUAGUCUUGUAUAUCACUUACUUUACACAUUCAAUAUGCCAGUUGACCUACUUGAAAGUGUAAUUACCAUAUGCAAAUAAAAGUGACACAGCUCCAUAGCCCUCCUCCACUUGGCAGAUCAGGCACAACCUUGAUCUUAAGACUCUUUAGUAUGUUCUCUGUGUUCAGUCAUACUGUGUCCAUAAGGAUUAUAAGGUGUACACAAGAGUCACCCAUUGAGAACAUAGACAACAUGAGAAUGUGUAUCACAGAAAUUAUUAAAUUAUGGGUGUGAACUGAAAUAAAGGAGAUCACCAGAGGUGAGGGGAGCAAACCUGGAGAAAGCAAAUGAGCUGAAUUGUUAUUUUAAGAGGCUUAGCUCACAGUCAUUCCCCACCUAUUGUCUCCAACUUUCCCCCCACCCCCUGUGGCAUGCCCUCUGGAACCCCCUCCCUCAACUGGCCAGCUCCUGUCUCUAAUCAGUGGACUUCAUGUGGCCUCAUGGUGACCAGUUGCCCACGCAUGCCAGGUAUUGAAUGUGUUGGUGAGGGUGGUGUAGGUCUUCAGGAGGCCACAGGAAAGCACUUCUGGACCCUCUUGCCUUGUUGAUGGUGCUGUACUCUAUCUUAUGCAGCGUGACUAGAUGACGAACUGUCCCCGGUUUAUCGCUUCAGCCCGGGUUCUGCUUGAAGUGGACGUGAGUGGUAUAGGCGGUCCUCAGUGCUUUCUCCCUUCCUGUUGAUCAUCUACCCCUCAGAUUCAGACAGCUGUUUCCUGCUGUUUCAAGCUUUCUGGUUACUCUGCACUUGUUAGGUGUUAGUAAGGCAAAAGGGUUACUUCUCCAGCACAUACGUACCAAUGCAGACUCUACGAAUUUAGUGUACAACUGUACUAUUUUAGAUGUUUCACACUUUAGCAGAAAUCUAAAUUUUGCCAGUUUUUCCUGGUGCCUUCUCUUUGCCCUGUGCCCUAGGCAGCCUGUUUUCCUGAUAGCCCUUUCAGUGCUGACACUCUUGUGAACUUUCAAACAGAAUUUCCUCCCAACUAAAAUGCACUUGAUACUGAUUAAGUGCAGAGUGCGUGAAGAACAAUAGGCGUGUGGCAGGAAAAUCUUCAUCCUUUGUUUAGAUGAGGUCCUCCCCUGUCAUCAGCAUUUCAUGUUGAAGCUGUCAGCACAACAUUAUAGUACCUCCAGGAUCUGAUGAAGUCGGCACCACCCUGUGUGAGCCUAUGGAGGAAGGUGAAGCAGUAGCUCUACUGAGGCUGGAUGCGAUAGAGAUGUGCACAGAGGCAACUGUGAGUCAUACACACCAAGCGAAUGAAGUAUCCCUGACUGUUGAUAGUGAUCUAGAGAACUAUCAAAACUCUCCGACGACGCUGGAGGUACCAGAGAAAAGACACAUAAAAUUUCCAGUUAUGAGACACCAGGGCAUCCUUAGCAAGGCCUGAGCAGAUUUUUCCUAUGAUCUUACAGAUACCAGAGAGGUGGAAGAAGAUGUGCAAAUGUUUUAUUUGCAAGGAAGGGUGGAUCAACUUUUUAGGACAUUUUACAUGGAUGUGAGAUGAGACACAAAAUUCCCAAAGAAUAUUUACCCCAACAUAGUAGAAUCAACUGAAUAUGUUUCAUAAGAGUUUUAUGUCCAAGGCAAAUAGUCACAUCCAGGAGUGAAAAAACAGUUGUAUGGACCAGAUGUUAACAUAUAGAGGUUCAUGCCUGCUACAGUACAAAACACCAUGACAUUCCCAAUGGAUGGCACCCCAGCCAGGCCUGUGGGUCACAUGAUGGCGAUAACCACACCUCCACGCGAUGCUCACAGAGCCCCAGGAUGUAUAAAUGGAGAG
Molecule: RNA transcript, 2129 nt
Organism: Betta splendens (Siamese fighting fish)
Lineage: Eukaryota; Metazoa; Chordata; Actinopteri; Anabantiformes; Osphronemidae
Exons: 3
Source: RefSeq, a predicted model, not a curated record